GCCCCUAUAGCUCAGCUGGUAGAGCGCCUGAUUUGUAAUCAGGAUGUCGGGAGUUCGAGUCUCUCUGGGGGCACCA
This 76-nucleotide transfer RNA is filed under the name Psychromarinibacter halotolerans. RNAcentral's name for it is "tRNA-Thr". It matches the Rfam family "tRNA". From Rfam's summary of the family: Transfer RNA (tRNA) molecules are approximately 80 nucleotides in length. Their secondary structure includes four short double-helical elements and three loops (D, anti-codon, and T loops). RNAcentral also lists the same sequence under 3 other names. Lineage: Bacteria; Pseudomonadati; Pseudomonadota; Alphaproteobacteria; Rhodobacterales; Paracoccaceae. The record is from RNAcentral.